UACGGAGGGGGCUAGCGUUGUUCGGAAUUACUGGGCGUAAAGCGCACGUAGGCGGCUUUGUAAGUUAGAGGUGAAAGCCCGGAGCUCAACUCUGGAAUUGCCUUUUAGACUGCAUCGCUUGAAUCAUGGAGAGGUCAGUGGAAUUCCGAGUGUAGAGGUGAAAUUCGUAGAUAUUCGGAAGAACACCAGUGGCGAAGGCGACUAACUGGACAUGUAUUGACGCUGAGGUGCGAAAGCGUGGGGAGCAAACAGG
Molecule: ribosomal RNA, 253 nt
Filed under: uncultured bacterium
Lineage: Bacteria
Description: partial 16S ribosomal RNA
Rfam family: Bacterial small subunit ribosomal RNA
Source: RNAcentral